Petromyzon marinus (sea lamprey) is the source of this 319-nucleotide non-coding RNA. The record is from RefSeq and is a predicted model, not a curated record. Lineage: Eukaryota; Metazoa; Chordata; Hyperoartia; Petromyzontiformes; Petromyzontidae.
CUCCUCACCCCCGGCCGCUCACCACCACCACCACCACAAGCGGCAGAAGCAACAGCAGCAGCAGCGUGGCUCACGGGACAGAUCCUCCAAGUCGUCCUCGGCAUCGCGAUCUCCCAAAAAAACUACUUAGACACAGACACAGAUUGACACAGACACAGACAGACACGGAUACAUAGAUACUCAGACAGGACGCAGAGUUAUAACUCGCACACAUAGACACACAGAGUUAUAACUCGCACACAUAGACACACAGAGUUAUAACUCACACAGACACCCAGAGUUAUAACUCGCACACAUAGACACACAGAGUUAUAACUCA